GGAACUGCUGAAGUGUUUCUCAUACUGGAAACACUUACAUUCAUUUGAUAACUUACUUUUUUACUCAUACUGAACUUUUUGGUUACCUCCAUGUCAGCAUAAUUGGUUUCUAAGGAGUAAAUCAUUGCCCUACUAUAUAAUAUUUUUCAUCCUUCUUUGCCAUGAAUGAUAAAGCAUUUUGAAAGUUACUUCCAAAUCCCAUCCUGGGCAUUUUGAUGUUGUUUUAUCAUUCAAUUUCUUAGAUGCAUCAUCUUUCAUUUUUGGUUAGUCAAAGUUAAACAUAUUGCUUUCUAUUGCCUGUGCAUUUUCUGUUUACAGCUUUUCCCCUUAGUAGUUUACCACUCUGUUGCUUAAAAGUAAAUAAUGCACUUAAAAUCUU
This 379-nucleotide unclassified non-coding RNA is filed under the name Hevea brasiliensis (rubber tree). Lineage: Eukaryota; Viridiplantae; Streptophyta; Magnoliopsida; Malpighiales; Euphorbiaceae. The record is from RNAcentral.